GAUGAACGCUGGCGGCGUGCCUAAUACAUGCAAGUCGAGCGAACAGACGAGGAGCUUGCUCCUCUGACGUUAGCGGCGGACGGGUGAGUAACACGUGGAUAACCUACCUAUAAGACUGGGAUAACUUCGGGAAACCGGAGCUAAUACCGGAUAAUAUAUUGAACCGCAUGGUUCAAUAGUGAAAGACGGUUUUGCUGUCACUUAUAGAUGGAUCCGCGCCGCAUUAGCUAGUUGGUAAGGUAACGGCCUACCAAGGCAACGAUGCGUAGCCGACCUGAGAGGCGGAUCGGCCACACUGGAGCUGAGACACGGUCAAGACUCCUACGGGAGGCAGCAGUAGGGAAUCUUCCGCAAUGGGCGAAAGCCUGACGGAGCAACGCCGCGUGAGUGAUGAAGGUCUUCGGAUCGUAAAACUCUGUUAUUAGGGAAGAACAAAUGUGUAAGUAACUAUGCACGUCUUGACGGUACCUAAUCAGAAAGCCACGGCUAACUACGUG
RNAcentral lists this ribosomal RNA (497 nucleotides) under uncultured bacterium. RNAcentral's name for it is "partial 16S ribosomal RNA". It matches the Rfam family "Bacterial small subunit ribosomal RNA", at positions 28 to 507 of the family's 1533-position model. The record is from RNAcentral.